Non-coding RNA from Phascolarctos cinereus (koala), 1610 nucleotides. Lineage: Eukaryota; Metazoa; Chordata; Mammalia; Diprotodontia; Phascolarctidae. The record is from RefSeq and is a predicted model, not a curated record.
GUAUGAGUAUGAGUGGUUUUGUGUGUGUGUGUGAGUAGUGUGUGUGUGAGUGGUGGUGUGUGUCUGUGUGUGGUCUAGAGUUUGUUUCAUCCCAGAGGCAACUAGAGGCCACUGGCAUUUAUUGGAAAAGGAAAUGAUGUAGUCAGAUCUGCACUGAUGGGCAAUCACUUUGGCAGCUCUGUGGAGGAUAGACUGGCAUCCCAGGGGUGUUCUGGGCAGCCAGGAACCUGUGUAUGGAUCCAGAUGCAUCCACUCACUCUGUUGUAAAGGUGAAGUAAAAACAGGGCCUUGACUCCAAUCUUUAGGGACAGAGUUCCUUCGUGCGCUACUUCCUUUCCAGGAUAGAAUCAAUAAGCUAUGAAAUGAUGAGAGCCUCUGGGCUGGGCUGGGCUGUAAUUCCAACGAUUCUUGACUCAGGUGAUAAAAAAGGUGAGGGCUUAGAAUUUUUGAGAGGAAUAUAUUGAGUCAGGUGACCUUGUGACAAACUGAGGAGAAUAAAUGGGGAGAGGCAGAGGAUCUGGAUAAUAUGCCCUCCUCCUACUGAUUUAAGGGCUCUCCUCUCCCUUUUUUUUUUUUAGUGUCCAACUCCUUCACACCUGUCCCAGAGCUCCCUGCAGGCAACCUCCAGCUUUAUCCUAGCCUAGGAAUCCUUGUCAUGUUGAAGGCUGGUCCAAUUAAGGGAAGGCAACAGAGGGUCUUUCUCCUACCUCAGAACCAGGCAUGUUGGAGAUGAAAAAGGAGCUGGGGAGAAUGAGGUUGUACCCUGGAGGCCGUUGCAGGUGGUGGUGAUGGUGGUGGUAGGGCCAGUAAAUGAAUUUCUGCUGCUGGCUCUUUAUUACACUUGUAUCUAAUACAGUGAAACCGCUCUUUCCUGCACAGAGAUUUGGGGGACACGUCUCUGGGAAGGAGUGGAAGAAGAGGAGGAGGAAGUCAGCACUGGGCUUCUGGAGUGCCUGCAGGCAUAAUGCCUAAGAACUGCCCCACCCCCUCCAAAAAAGCCAGAGGAUAAGAGAUGGGCCCUAAUCCAGUUCUGGAACCAUAAUCACGUCAGCUGCCACUGUGCCUGGGUGGGACAGGUCAACGUGCUUCCCUGUGGCCCCACACACUGUCCCAGUGAUUUUGUGGACCAAAGUGCCUCUCCCUGGCCACCACUCUGCUCUGUCUGGCCUCCUCCUAUUAGAAGGCCUCUGACUGCAAAGCAGCCAAAGUCCAAGCCAAUCUUGGGAUUUCCUCAGGAUCAUCUGGGCCAGCUGGCCUUCAGACAAGACUCUUCUCUCCCUUGGCCCCAGUGAACCUGCCCAGCUCCGACUGCCAGGCCAGGACUCAUUCCUCUUCUGACCAGCCCUACUCCUCAUAGACUUCUUCCUGGCCUUGAGCUUCUGUCUGCCCCCUGGACCUUCCUCGCAUGGCUCCUUGUUCAGUCCUAGGGGCCAACCCCGUCAUUUUCCUUAAGCCUUCUCUUGCCUGGGCCCAGCUCACUGUGCUGCUCUCUGUGAGCCAUUGCCUCUCAGCCCCAGGCUGUCCUCCCUCUCCCCUGUCCUGGACACUGUCCAGUUUAUCACUUGUCCUUUCUUCACUGCAGCUGCAGUGAGGGGACCAGAGUGGAAAGA